UUCUGGACUAAUUCAUGUGGCUGCAAUUGGAGCUGGAUGAUCUAAAUGGUCUCACUCCUAGGUCUGGCCAUUGAUGUUGGCGGUUGACUGAGCCAGAGGCCACCAGCAGGCUAGCGGGGGCUCUUCACUCAGCAGCAGGGUUCCAAGAGGACAAGCCCAACACACAUGUGCUUUUCAAGCCUGUGAUUAUCAGGGCUGUACUGCAACAAUCUGCCGCAAUCAGUAACGACCACAUAAGAAAGCAAUGACAAGUUAUGAUUACUGCUCUGAAGAGAUUGAGCAGGAUGGUAUAGGAGAGUUACUAUUCCAAGUGACCUCUGGGCCAGCAGCAUUGGCAUCACCUGGGAAUUGUGAGAAAUCCAGCAUCUCAGGCUCCACUGCAGGUCUCCUAAAUCAGAAUCUACAGUUUAACAAGAUCCCCAGCUGUGUGUGUAGGGUUUACAGAGGGAAGAUUCAAGCCUCAACAGGUCAGGUCAGUUGGACAAGGUGACCUUUAAGCCCUCUUCUAGCUUCAUGAAAACAGAUCUGAAAUUUGCCUGAUCUCAGCAAUGGUAGUGAAAAGACUGUGUACCUGAAUGAUCUGGUGGCAGGUUUUAAAAAAUGAAGAAAAACUGGUCUCCCUGUUCUGUAGAAGAACAGCUUUUCAUCUAGAAAGCUGUCCCUCCUUCAUUGUUAAGCCCUUGGGCUUUAAGCAAAGAUGUGAGGUCUGCUUUAAGCAGGAAUGUAUUUGGGGAUCUUUCUCAUUACUCUCGCCUUGACCGUGGACCACCCUGGGCAUUCAGAUCGAUUUGCCACUUGGGGGCCAUAAUUGAAUGAAAGACCAAUCCAGAAAUUAUU
Non-coding RNA from Macaca mulatta (Rhesus monkey), 837 nucleotides. The record is from RefSeq and is a predicted model, not a curated record. Lineage: Eukaryota; Metazoa; Chordata; Mammalia; Primates; Cercopithecidae.